ACAUGAACUGAUCAAAUAUCAGAACAGUUACACCACAUUAAACAGUAGGAUGUGAAUUCAAUUGAAAAAGUUUCCUAGGUAACUCUCGCUCAGAAACACAGAGAUCAUUAUUUGUUCUUAUCUGUAACACAGCCUAUUAAUUUCCCAGGUCGGGCAGUAAGCCUAUCACAAUUGCUAUCCUCGCGAUAUGUAGGAAAAGAAAGAAUUAUGCACUUACCGUUACGGUUUCAACUGAAUAAUAGCCACGAUCAACAUAAUCCCCCAUAAACAAAUAGUUCGUAUCUGGACACUACCAAUCAGAAAAAAAAAGCUCAGCAAGAUCAUGGAAUUGCCCAUGAAUAUCACCACAGAUUGUUACAGGGCUUUUGACGGGCUACAUGGAGAAGG
Long non-coding RNA from Rhododendron vialii, 387 nucleotides. RefSeq lists it as uncharacterized. The transcript has 2 exons. NCBI's taxonomy places the organism in Eukaryota, Viridiplantae, Streptophyta, Magnoliopsida, Ericales, Ericaceae. The record is from RefSeq and is a predicted model, not a curated record.